AUAAGCACUGCCCUUUUUGGUUCAAGUAAGACCGAUACGCAUUUGCAGGUGAAGUGGGUACCCAAGAUAAAGUAUCCUGACGGCGAAGCACUCCUCCAUGAUUCCUUGCUAGUGGUUGCGGCUGUAUCAUCCUCUCUGAAAUGAGAUGCCAUAUUAUCGGUUGGGAUCAUCUUUUCUACAUCAUCCCAAUCAUUUUUCAAUGCCGCUGUUUGGUAAUGUGGUCAGGUGCGCGCAAUGCAGUGCAAACGCAGUGAACUUGAAUAAUCAUGUAGCUGUGGUGAAGAACAUGUCUUCCUCAUUGGCUUUCAAUCGUUCUUUUCCAAUAUAUUAUCCUUUUGCAACCCUACAAAUCAGUGUCGGUGUGGGAGAUGCAUUUAAUUCUAGCAAGUGUCACCAGUCUAAAGUUUCUGAGAACCUGAUUUUGGGCGAGGAUCACUUUGUUGGUUACAUUGACUCUGUAGAAGGUAUUGAAGAUGAUAAGGAAAGGCAAAGACGAAGAAAGAUAGGGUUAGCAAACAAGGGGAGAGUGCCGUGGAACAAGGGCAAGAAACAUAGUGCAGAGACUUGUCGGCGUAUCAAGCAAAGAACAAUAGAAGCUUUGAGAGACCCCAAGGUAAGGAAGAAGAUGUCUGAACAUCCACGUCCUCACAGCGAUCAUAUCAAGGCAAAAAUAAGCUCUUCACUUCGAAGUAUUUGGCAAGAGCGCUUAAAAUUGAAAUGGUCAAGAGAAAGGUUCUUCUGUUCAUGGCAAGAAAGUAUAGCAGAGGCAGCUAAGAAAGGUGAGACCGACCAGCUAGAGCUAGAAUGGGAUAGCUAUGAUAAGAUAAAACAAGAAACAGUCCUCCAACAGCAUCAGUGGGUGGUAGAAAAGGCAAAGGCAAAGCAGGUGGCAAAGGCAAGUGCAGAGAAAAUCAUUCUUUCAUGGGCAGAAAGCAUAGCAAAAGCAGCUAAGAAAGGGGCAACAAACCAGCAAGAGCUAGAUUGGGAUAGCUAUGAUAAGAUCAAACAAGAGGAAGUCUUCCGACAGCUUCAGUGGGCUGCAGAAAAGGCGAAGGCAAAGGAGAGGAAAAACAUAAGGGCAAGACUUGCUCAAAAGAGAAAAGAACUGCAAGAGAAGGCAAGAGCGAGAGGAGAGAUUCAGGUAACAAAGGAAGACAAAGAUGACUUGGCUGUUGUCCAAGAGUCAAAUCUUAAGCAGAGACUGACCAAGAUUCAUGUAAAGAAGUCCAUAAAUUAUCAACUAGCUGAUCGAGGGGACACAGUGGCUUCGCAUUUUGGAGCCCUGGAGAAAUUGAAUCUAGAACACAUAAAGAGAGAAAAGACACACAGGGAAAUUUCACUCGCUGAUCAGAUCCAAGCCAUCAGGAAGAAAAAGGAAUCCCUGGCUAGGGAAGUAGUGGCAGCUCAUACUCUGAUUACUGAUCCAAUAGAAAUAUGAGUCAGCUUUGGUUCACUGUUUAACAAACAGUAAAUCUAGAAUGUAUGAAGACAAGACCAGAAGCAGCUUUCGAGCUCCAAAUAUCAAGAUUCUGCAUGUUCCAUUGUGGUGAGUCUAUGGCUUGGAGGAAAUCACAGAACCAUAUUCUUGUUUGGGUGACCUAUGGACUAUUGUUAUGACAUUAAUUACACUAAUUAAUGUGACAGCGAGGACAACAAUUCAACAAAGACGAUGACAAUGAUUGGUGGUAUGGAAACCAUAAUAUAAAGUAAUAAUGGUGGUUUAGAGAUGACGAUAAUGGUGAUUGGUAAUGGCCCAAAAAAAGUGGUGGCAACUACACAAUGAGGAUGAAGAUGAUGAUUGGAACUUGGAUUUGGAUGUUUGAAAUUUCAGACUCUCUUAUAGCUUUUUUGUGAAUCAUCGAACUGAGGACUAACAGUGGGAUUUUGAAGUCUCUAUUGCCCCUGUUGAAAAUUUCCCUAUUCAACGUGCUUUUUGACUUCCAAUCAUACUUCUGUUUUAAGUCCCAUUGGAGAUUUUUUUAUGGGCUUUCAAAACAACUUAGAAAGUCCGUUUGUACGUACCCAGAGCUUGCCCAUGUAACGGACUUGUUCAUAAUCACUUGCGCGCAGUACUUCGAUGUUAUAAGGAUUCACGCACUAGUUCGAGCAA
Carya illinoinensis is the source of this 2110-nucleotide RNA transcript. RefSeq lists it as uncharacterized. NCBI's taxonomy places the organism in Eukaryota, Viridiplantae, Streptophyta, Magnoliopsida, Fagales, Juglandaceae. The transcript is spliced from 7 exons. The record is from RefSeq and is a predicted model, not a curated record.